GGAUGGGUGGCAGAGUCCGGUUUAAUGCAUCGGUCUUGAAAACCGACGAGGGUGCGAGCCCUCCGGGGGUUCGAAUCCCUCCCCAUCCGCCA
Molecule: transfer RNA, 92 nt
Filed under: Hyphomicrobiales bacterium
Lineage: Bacteria; Pseudomonadati; Pseudomonadota; Alphaproteobacteria; Hyphomicrobiales
Also listed under: 2 other names
Description: tRNA-Ser
Rfam family: tRNA
About the family: Transfer RNA (tRNA) molecules are approximately 80 nucleotides in length. Their secondary structure includes four short double-helical elements and three loops (D, anti-codon, and T loops).
Source: RNAcentral